This is a long non-coding RNA of Eriocheir sinensis (Chinese mitten crab), 2682 nucleotides long. RefSeq lists it as uncharacterized. The transcript is spliced from 6 exons. Lineage: Eukaryota; Metazoa; Arthropoda; Malacostraca; Decapoda; Varunidae. The record is from RefSeq and is a predicted model, not a curated record.
UUAACAAAACCAAAAACAGUAAUUCUAGGUUUUGACUCAGAAAAUUCAUAUAUGCUUCCUUACUAAUGAAACUUUCUAUACAACAAAGUGAGGUCAUUCUUUGUUGAUUUAUACCAUAAGGUGCUGGCUAUCAUGUGUUUGAAGAUACCCUAAACUUAACCUAACAUAACCUAACAAAACCCCAAACAGUAACUCUAGGUCUUGACUCAGAAAAUUCAUAUAUGCUUCCUUACUAAUGAGACUUUCUAUACAACAAAGUGAGGUCAUUCUUUGUUGAUUUAUACCAUAAGGUGUUGGCUAUCAUGUGUUUGAAGAUACCCUAAACUUAACCUAACAUAACCUAACAAAACCCCAAACAGUAACUCUAGGUCUUGACUCAGAAAAUUCAUAUAUGCUUCCUUACUAAUGAGACUUUCUAUACAACAAAGUGAGGUCAUUCUUUGUUGAUUUAUACCAUAAGGUGUUGGCUAUCAUGUGUUUGAAGAUACCCUAAACUUAACCUAACAAAACCCCAAACAGUAACUCUAGGUCUUGACUCAGAAAAUUCAUAUAUGCUUCCUUACUAAUGAGACUUUCUAUACAACAAAGUGAGGUCAUUCUUUGUUGAUUUAUACCAUAAGGUGCUGGCUAUCAUGUGUUUGAAGAUACCCUAAACUUAACCUAACAUAACCUAACAAAACCCCAAACAGUAACUCUAGGUCUUGACUCAGAAAAUUCAUUUAUGCUUCCUUACUAAUGAAACUUUCUAUACAACAAAGUGAGGUCAUUCUUUGUUGAUUUAUACCAUAAGGUGUUGGCUAUCAUGUGUUUGAAGAUACCCUAAACUUAACCUAACAAAACCCCAAACAGUAACUCUAGGUCUUGACUCAGAAAAUUCAUAUAUGCUUCCUUACUAAUGAGACUUUCUAUACAACAAAGUGAGGUCAUUCUUUGUUGAUUUAUACCAUAAGGUGCUGGCUAUCAUGUGUUUGAAGAUACCCUAAACUUAACAUAACAAAACCCCAAACAGUAACUCUAGGUCUUGACUCAGAAAAUUCAUAUAUGCUUCCUUACUAAUGAAACUUUCUAUACAACAAAGUGAGGUCAUUCUUUGUUGAUUUAUACCAUAAGGUGCUGGCUAUCAUGUGUUUGAAGAUACCCUAAACUUAACCUAACAUAACCUAACAAAACCCCAAACAGUAACUCUAGGUCUUGACUCAGAAAAUUCAUAUAUGCUUCCUUACUAAUGAGACUUUCUAUACAACAAAGUGAGGUCAUUCUUUGUUGAUUUAUACCAUAAGGUGCUGGCUAUCAUGUGUUUGAAGAUACCCUAAACUUAACCUAACAUAACCUAACAAAACCCCAAACAGUAACUCUAGGUCUUGACUCAGAAAAUUCAUAUAUGCUUCCUUACUAAUGAGACUUUCUAUACAACAAAGUGAGGUCAUUCUUUGUUGAUUUAUACCAUAAGGUGCUGGCUAUCAUGUGUUUGAAGAUACCCUAAACUUAACCUAACAUAACCUAACAAAACCCCAAACAGUAACUCUAGGUCUUGACUCAGAAAAUUCAUAUAUGCUUCCUUACUAAUGAGACUUUCUAUACAACAAAGUGAGGUCAUUCUUUGUUGAUUUAUACCAUAAGGUGCUGGCUAUCAUGUGUUUGAAGAUACCCUAAACUUAACCUAACAUAACCUAACAAAACCCCAAACAGUAACUCUAGGUCUUGACUCAGAAAAUUCAUUUAUGCUUCCUUACUAAUGAAACUUUCUAUACAACAAAGUGAGGUCAUUCUUUGUUGAUUUAUACCAUAAGGUGCUGGCUAUCAUGUGUUUGAAGAUAUCCUAAACUUAACCUAACAUAACCUAACAAAACCCCAAACAGUAACUCUAGGUCUUGACUCAGAAAAUUCAUAUAUGCUUCCUUACUAAUGAGACUUUCUAUACAACAAAGUGAGGUCAUUCUUUGUUGAUUUAUACCAUAAGGUGCUGGCUAUCAUGUGUUUGAAGAUACCCUAAACUUAACCUAACAUAACCUAACAAAAUCCCAAACAGUAACUCUAGGUCUUGACUCAGAAAAUUCAUAUUUGCUUCCUUACUAAUGAAACUUUCUGUACAACAAAGUGAGGUCAUUCUUUGUUGAUUUAUACCAUAAGGUGCUGGUUAUCAUGUGUUUGAAGAUACCCUAAACUUAACCAAACAAAACCCUAAACAUUAACUCUAGGUCUUGACUCAAAAAAUUCAUAUAUGCUUCCUUACUAAUGAGACUUUCUAUACAACAAAGUGAGGUCAUUCUUUGUUGAUUUAUACCAUAAAGUGCUGGCUAUCAUGUGUUUGAAGAUACCCUAAACUUAACCUAACAAAACCCCAAACAGUAACUCUAGGUCUUGACUCAGAAAAUUCAUUUAUGCUUCCUUACUAAUGAAACUUUCUAUACAACAAAGUGAGGUCAUUCUUUGUUGAUUUAUACCAUAAGGUGCUGGCUAUCAUGUGUUUGAAGAUACCCUAAACUUAACCUAACAAAACCCCAAACAGUAACUCUAGGUCUUGACUCAGAAAAUUCAUACAUGCUUCCUUACUAAUGAAACUUUCUGUACAACAAAGUGAGGUCAUUCUUUGUUGAUUUAUACCAUAGGGUGUUGGCUAUCAUGUGUUUGAAGAUACCCUAAACUUAACCUAACAUAGCCUAACAAAACCCCAAACAGUAG